AAGAAAUAUUACUGUGAAUGAAUCUAUAGCACCAAAGAGAUGACUAAUUUAUAACUCGUACUGGAGUAAACCCUAACUCUAUGCUAAAUUGUUUUUUAUGCAUAUCUCACAACAAUCCCACUUUUGGCAGAGACAGUCCUGAUUUUGGGGUUCUUUCCUGCUUAGUUUCUUGAUGUUCCAUGUCUGGGUGUACCAGGAAACCGUCCCCACUUAGCACAGUGUGAGCUCGUGACCAUGCAGAGGCUGGGGCUAUCCAGAUAGCUUUUUUGGGUGAACUCACCUCUUUUAGGUAUCGCUAGUGACGCAGGUCACCUCACUGGUGACAGUCCUCAGGGCCCCAUCCACGCCCUUCCCUAUUCUCCCUCCAGAUUUUUAGGAGGUGUAUUUUAUGUUUGACAGAUUACUAUAUGAAUUUAAGUGAUUGCAUCCAAUUGAGUAAAUAAUGGUAAAAUAACACACGAGUCAUCCAUUAAAAGGGAGGGUAGCACUUUGUAAAUAUUGUCUGUCCUUGAUUUGCUUGGAAAUUUUUCAGUGACUUUGUCACAAUGUUCCUAUUUGAAAUUCUCUCAGAGCACUUGUUGACAUCAUAUUUAGAUCAGUGGUUCUUAGUAGGUUCUUAUGGGCCACCAACAGUUAAAGGACCACUAUAGUGCCAGGAAAACAAACUCGUUUUCCUGGCAUUAUAGUGCCAUGAGGGUGCCCCCAUUCUCAGGGUCCCACUCCCGCUGCGCUGAAGGGGGAGGAAGGGGGUUAGUCCCUUACCUUUUUUCCAGCGCCGGACUCCAUCGGCGCUUGGACUCUCCUCCCUCUUCUGAUGUCAUCGGCUGAAUGCGCAUGCAAUGAGACAGCCACUAAAGGCUGGAUUAACCCUAAUGUAAACAUAGCAGUUUCUCUGAAACUGCUAUGUUUACAGCCGAAAGGGUUAAUCCUAGAUGGACCUGUCACCCAGACCACUUCAUUGAGCUAAAGUGGUCUGGGUGUCUAUAGUGGUCCUUUAAGGUUUUCUUGGUUUCCCUGAUGAAAAAGUAAUCUACAGAUUCUGGAUGACUGGUGAUUCACAUGUACUGAGUUGAGAGCCACUGCUCUAGGAGCAUUCUAUUAAACUUUAGUCUGGGGGGUGAUGAGUAUGGGCAACUGAUGUUGGCAGUGUUUUUUGGGUUAGGACUGUUUUAUAAAUUUUGCCUCCCAUUCAUCAGUGUAAAUGCAUUGGUGAGUUUUAGCUGCCAUGUUUCUAUAUAGAGAUGUGUUCUAAUUGGAUUGAUUGUACUUCUGCAAAGUAAAUAAUAGGUCUGCCACUAUGAUCACUAUUUUAUUACCAUAUAGUUUACUCAGUCUGGUCUAUACAUACAGGGUUAUUUACUAAAUUGAGAAAAAAGGGGCUCCGUCACCGCACACGUACCUUUCUCCCAUUUUUUCCUCUUCUCUUCCUCUGUCAGAAUCUGUUCUUCUUGACAAAGGAUGUAGUUUAAGGUAAGUUGCUCCCUUUCUCAAGAUUACCAAGUGAAGAAAAAAUACACGUUUUUUUUCCCUAUAUAAAUUUUUAUUGAAUUUUAACAUAUUGUACAAUAUUCAUUAAGACAAAAAAAGACUAAAAAACAAAAACAUGAACAGCAAACAAAGACAAAGUGGUGUAUAAACACUAUCACAAGUAUCUUCAGUGCUAUAAUCCAUAUUUGUACAUAUAUGCUGUCAUAUUGAUCAUUUCA
Molecule: non-coding RNA, 1706 nt
Organism: Pelobates cultripes (western spadefoot toad)
Lineage: Eukaryota; Metazoa; Chordata; Amphibia; Anura; Pelobatidae
Source: the annotation of a GenBank genome assembly